This 254-nucleotide ribosomal RNA is filed under the name uncultured bacterium. Its description in RNAcentral is "partial 16S ribosomal RNA". It matches the Rfam family "Bacterial small subunit ribosomal RNA", at positions 524 to 776 of the family's 1533-position model. The record is from RNAcentral.
UACGUAGGGUGCAAGCGUUGUCCGGAAUUAUUGGGCGUAAAGAGCUCGUAGGCGGUUUGUCGCGUCUGCUGUGAAAUCCCGAGGCUCAACCUCGGGUCUGCAGUGGGUACGGGCAGACUAGAGUGUGGUAGGGGAGAUUGGAAUUCCUGGUGUAGCGGUGAAAUGCGCAGAUAUCAGGAGGAACACCGAUGGCGAAGGCAGGUCUCUGGGCAUUAACUGACGCUGAGGAGCGAAAAGCAUGGGGAGCGAACAGG